GAAUAUUGCACAAUGGGCGCAAGCCUGAUGCAGCGACGCCGCGUGGGGGAUGACGGCCUUCGGGGUGUCAACUCCUUUCGACAGGGACGAAGAGUAUGUGACGGUACCUGUAGAAGAAGCACAGGCCAACUACGUUCCAGCAGCAGCGGUAACGAGGAUGGUGCGAGCGUUGUCCGGAAUUACUGGGCAUAAAGCGCUCUUAGGUGGUUUGUCGCGUCGUCUGGUAAAUCCCUGGGCUUAACCUCGGGCGUGCAGGCGAUACGGGCAUAACUUGAGUGCUGUAGGGGAGACUGGAAUUCCUGGUGGAGCGGUGAAAUGCGCAGAUAUCAGGAGGAACACCAAUGGCGAAGGCAGGUCUCUGGGCAGUAACUGACGCUGAGGAGCGAAAGCAUGGGUAGCGA
RNAcentral lists this ribosomal RNA (401 nucleotides) under uncultured bacterium. Its description in RNAcentral is "partial 16S ribosomal RNA". It matches the Rfam family "Bacterial small subunit ribosomal RNA", at positions 359 to 771 of the family's 1533-position model. The record is from RNAcentral.